This 310-nucleotide ribosomal RNA is filed under the name Salmonella enterica subsp. enterica serovar Heidelberg. RNAcentral describes it as "bacterial LSU rRNA". It matches the Rfam family "Bacterial large subunit ribosomal RNA", at positions 1 to 307 of the family's 2925-position model. Lineage: Bacteria; Pseudomonadati; Pseudomonadota; Gammaproteobacteria; Enterobacterales; Enterobacteriaceae. The record is from RNAcentral. RNAcentral also lists the same sequence under 2 other names.
GGGUUGUGAGGUUAAGCGACUAAGCGUACACGGUGGAUGCCCUGGCAGUCAGAGGCGAUGAAGGGCGUGCUAAUCUGCGAUAAGCGCCGGUAAGGUGAUAUGAACCGUUAUAACCGGCGAUACCCGAAUGGGGAAACCCAGUGUGACUCGUCACACUAUCAUUAACUGAAUCCAUAGGUUAAUGAGGCGAACCGGGGGAACUGAAACAUCUAAGUACCCCGAGGAAAAGAAAUCAACCGAGAUUCCCCCAGUAGCGGCGAGCGAACGGGGAGGAGCCCAGAGCCUGAAUCAGCAUGUGUGUUAGUGGAAG